This 81-nucleotide transfer RNA is filed under the name Spirochaetaceae bacterium. Its description in RNAcentral is "tRNA-Leu". It matches the Rfam family "tRNA". Rfam says of the family: Transfer RNA (tRNA) molecules are approximately 80 nucleotides in length. Lineage: Bacteria; Pseudomonadati; Spirochaetota; Spirochaetia; Spirochaetales; Spirochaetaceae. RNAcentral also lists the same sequence under 5 other names. The record is from RNAcentral.
GCGAGAGUGGUGGAACGGCAGACACGCCAGACUUAGGAUCUGGUGCCUUUCGGCGUAAGGGUUCAAGUCCCUUCUCUCGCA